UGCCCAGACUCCUACGGGAGGCAGCAGUGGGGAAUUUUGCGCAAUGGGGGAAACCCUGACGCAGCAACGCCGCGUGCGGGACGACGGCCCUCGGGUUGUAAACCGCUUUCAGUGGGGACGAUGGUGACGGUACCCACAGAAGAAGCUCCGGCUAACUACGUGCCAGCAGCCGCGGUAAUACGUAGGGAGCGAGCGUUAUCCGGAUUCAUUGGGCGUAAAGCGCGCGUAGGCGGCUGCCUAAGCGGAACCUCUAAUCCCGGGGCUCAACCUCGGGCCGGGUUCCGAACUGGGCGGCUCGAGUGCGGUAGAGGCAGGCGGAAUUCCCGGUGUAGCGGUGGAAUGCGCAGAUAUCGGGAAGAACACCGAUGGCGAAGGCAGCCUGCUGGGCCGUCACUGACGCUGAGGCGCGAAAGCUGGGGGAGCGAACAGGAUUAGAUACCCCGGUAUA
This 448-nucleotide ribosomal RNA is filed under the name uncultured bacterium. Its description in RNAcentral is "bacterial SSU rRNA". It matches the Rfam family "Bacterial small subunit ribosomal RNA", at positions 328 to 794 of the family's 1533-position model. The record is from RNAcentral.